This 85-nucleotide transfer RNA is filed under the name Felis catus (domestic cat). It matches the Rfam family "tRNA". Rfam says of the family: Transfer RNA (tRNA) molecules are approximately 80 nucleotides in length. Their secondary structure includes four short double-helical elements and three loops (D, anti-codon, and T loops). Lineage: Eukaryota; Metazoa; Chordata; Mammalia; Carnivora; Felidae. The record is from Rfam by way of RNAcentral.
GCCUGGGUGGCUCAGUGGGUUGAGCGUCCGACUUCUGCUCAGGUCAUGAUCUCACCACUUGUGAGUUCGAGCCCCACGUCAGGCU